CCUACGGGAGGCAGCAGUGGGGGAUAUUGCACAAUGGAGGAAACUCUGAUGCAGCGACGCCGCGUGAGGGAAGACGGUCUUCGGAUUGUAAACCUCUGUCUUUGGGGAAGAAAAUGACGGUACCCAAAGAGGAAGCACCGGCUAACUACGUGCCAGCAGCCGCGGUAAUACGUAGGGAGCGAGCGUUGUCCGGAAUUACUGGGUGAAAAGAGGGCGUAGGCGGGCGAGAAAGUUGAAUGUUAAGUCUACGGGCUAAACCGGUAGCUGCAGUUAAAAAUGGUUGUCUUGAGUGAAGUAGAGGCAGGCGGAAUUCCUAGUGUAGCGGUGAAAUGCGUAGAUAUUAGGAGGAACACCCGUGGCGAAGGCGGCCUGCUGGGCUUUAACUGACGCUGAGGCUCGAAAGCGUGGGGAGCAAACAGGAUUAGAUACCCGAGUAGUC
RNAcentral lists this ribosomal RNA (439 nucleotides) under uncultured bacterium. Its description in RNAcentral is "partial 16S ribosomal RNA". It matches the Rfam family "Bacterial small subunit ribosomal RNA", at positions 338 to 795 of the family's 1533-position model. The record is from RNAcentral.